This 494-nucleotide ribosomal RNA is filed under the name uncultured bacterium. Its description in RNAcentral is "partial 16S ribosomal RNA". It matches the Rfam family "Bacterial small subunit ribosomal RNA", at positions 28 to 507 of the family's 1533-position model. The record is from RNAcentral.
GACGAACGCUGGCGGCGCGCUUAACACAUGCAAGUCGAACGGAAAGGCCUGCUUUCCCUUGUGGAUUGCGGGUACUCGAGUGGCGAACGGGUGAGUAGCACGUGAGUGAUCUGCCCCCAACUUGGGUAUAAGCCUGGGAAACUGGGUCUAAUUCCCGAUAGGACUGCAGGGUGGUGCCUGUGGUGGAAAACGAUUUUCUAGUGGUUGGGGAUGAGCUCGCGGCCUAUCAGCUUGUUGGUGGGGUAAUGGCCUACCAAGGCGGCGACGGGUAGCCGGCCUGAGAGGGUGGACGGCCACAUUGGGACUGAGAUACGGCCCAGACUCCUACGGGAGGCAGCAGUGGGGAAUAUUGCACAAUGGGCGGAAGCCUGAGGCAGCGACGCCGCGUGGGGGAUGACGGCCUUCGGGUUGUAAACUCCUUUCGACCGCGAGGAAGCCACCUGGUUGGAAGGGUGGUGACGGUAGUGGUAGAAGAAGCACCGGCUAACUACGUG